This 426-nucleotide ribosomal RNA is filed under the name uncultured bacterium. RNAcentral's name for it is "bacterial SSU rRNA". It matches the Rfam family "Bacterial small subunit ribosomal RNA", at positions 356 to 773 of the family's 1533-position model. The record is from RNAcentral.
GGGGAAUUUUGCGCAAUGGGCGAAAGCCUGACGCAGCAACGCCGCGUGGAGGAUGAAGGUGCUCUGCAUUGUAAACUCCUGUCGGCCGGGAAGAAUCGGCGGGGUGCUAAUCAGCCCCGUCUUGACUGUACCGGCAAAGGAAGCCCCGGCUAACUCCGUGCCAGCAGCCGCGGUAAUACGGAGGGGGCAAGCGUUACUCGGAAUUAUUGGGCGUAAAGGGCGCGUAGGCGGUCUCGUGCGUCAGGGGUGAAAUUCCCGGGCUUAACCCGGGACGUGCCUCUGAUACGGCGAGACUUGAGUCCGGGAGAGGGGAGCAGAAUUCCCAGUGUAGCGGUGAAAUGCGUAGAUAUUGGGAGGAAUACCAGUGGCGAAGGCGGCUCCCUGGACCGGUACUGACGCUGAGGCGCGAAAGCGUGGGUAGCAAAC